UCUCCGUAGGUGAACCUGCGGAGGGAUCAUUACAGAGUUCAUGCCCUUCUGGGUAGAUCUCCCACCCUGUGUUAUCAUUACUUUGUUGCUUUGGCGGGCCGUUAGGCUUCGGCUUGGCUACCGGUCCCGGCUGGUAAGCGCCCGCCAGAGGACCCCAAACUCUGAAUGUUAGUGUCGUCUGAGUACUAUAAAAUAGUUAAAACUUUCAACAACGGAUCUCUUGGUUCUG
This 229-nucleotide unclassified non-coding RNA is filed under the name plant metagenome. Its description in RNAcentral is "partial contains small subunit ribosomal RNA, internal transcribed spacer 1, and 5.8S ribosomal RNA". The record is from RNAcentral.